This 455-nucleotide unclassified non-coding RNA is filed under the name Hevea brasiliensis (rubber tree). The record is from RNAcentral. Lineage: Eukaryota; Viridiplantae; Streptophyta; Magnoliopsida; Malpighiales; Euphorbiaceae.
UAUCGAUGUCGGUUCGAGCCACGCCAAAGAGGUCUAUGUGGCAGUCAUUGUGGCAAUGUGGACACUGUUCAUCACCAUCAGGCAUCCACAUCAUUCCAACCAAGAGUGGGGUUAAUCAAAGCUGGUCUUAGCCAUUUCCAGCAUGUCUACACAAUGUGGGGUGACCUCAAAAGGACAUUGUCCAAAUUUUCAGGGGCUAAUUACCCUAAUAAGGACCCAUAUAGGGCAAAGGUAAUUUUAGCUCCAGAGGCAACAGAGGGUGGGUUUCACUGUCGGUGGGUGGUAGGGCUUUCUGCUUGGGCUAAUGGUGCUCAACCUCCUCAUCCUCCUUCCUUCCUUCCAAAAGCCCUAUCUUUUCAAAAGUCAGCUUCUAUUGCUAUUAUCCUGAAUGGGGCUCUCCUUGCCAUGCCAUUGCUGUCUAGCUUCUUUUUGGAAAAUUAAAUAAGUGGGGAGAA